GUGAUAUAAAUAUUCGUAAAAUCGCGCGCUAUGUCACGUUGGAAAAAGUACUUUUGCUAAAUUCCAAGUGAUAUGAGCAUAACAAAAAAAAAGUGAAUUGAAGCGAAAACUGCCUCAGAGAGGAUAAAUAAAACUGCAACUCAAUAGAAUGAACAAAUGAACCACCAUUAGUCACAGUGUUCAUCCAAACUAUUUACAUUGCAACUAAACACGACGAAGGCAGCAUUUCGCAAGUGUCUGAUUGCUUAUUAAGAAGCUGGUCUGGUGGAUUACCAUACAUAGCAAUGUACAACAACGGUGAAGGAGCUCAAACAAUGGAACCAUAUUCGUACCACCUAGUAGUGAGACAACUUUUUCAUCCAAGUGUAGAAAACCAUAUGGCGUUCCCCAAAAACUUCCCCCACACCGAUGAAGACCCCGGGGAAUCGUUAGGAUCACUAGAACACUUGCACCUCGAUUCCGUAGGACCCUCUGAACCAAAAACCCAUCAUCCAGAAUCGCCCGCUACCACCGUACCCAAAUUUGACUGCAAACAAUGUGGUCAGACAUUCGAUAGCGUAGUCGGUUUGUUCGCGCACAAAAAACACAGUCAACACAGUCCUCCAGCGGGGCCUUCGUGCGCCAUAUGUAGCAAAAAAUUCGAUACGGGAUACGAAUUGACGGAACAUAAAGAAGAACAUCGUCAGUACAAGUGUGGCCAAUGUUCUCAAUCAUAUCUUUAUAAAUCAAGUCUUUAUGCUCACAUUAGGAAGAAGCAUAGCUGAAGUUGGGUUAAAAAAUAAUCGGGUUUGCUCACCGAGGUUAAUUUCUGUUACUUGGGCAAUCACAUUACCAUUAACAUCACAUUGAAACGCACUGUUCAGUAAAUGCAUAUUUUUCGAAAACAAAAAUUGCUUAUCUUUCAUAAUCUUACAGGUUAUGAAUUACUGUUCUUUCAAGCAAAAAAAAUCCCAACCAAUACGAAAUAAAUUGAAUUGAAUUAAAUUGAAUACUAACAACUUUUAUAUCUCAAAAAACUCCCUUUUGAUAUUUUUUUGUAUAUUUCCAUUAGAAAACCAUUUCAAUUGACCAUAUUUUGACGCCCAGUGAUGCCGUGGCAAACUCACCAAAAUGGAGAUUUGAAUUAUUGGAAAUUCAUGAAAUUUCAAUACUUUGGAAAUCGUGAUCAUGUAAG
This is a long non-coding RNA of Toxorhynchites rutilus septentrionalis, 1174 nucleotides long. RefSeq lists it as uncharacterized. NCBI's taxonomy places the organism in Eukaryota, Metazoa, Arthropoda, Insecta, Diptera, Culicidae. The record is from RefSeq and is a predicted model, not a curated record. The transcript is spliced from 4 exons.